CCUACGGGGGACAGCAGUGAGGAAUAUUGGUCAAUGGCCGGAAGGCUGAACCAGCCAUGCCGCGUGAAGGUCAGUGCCCUAUGGGCGUUAAACUUCUUUUGUGCGGGAGCAAUAAUGGUCACGUGUGGCCAGACGAUAGUACCGUACGAAUAAGCAUCGGCUAACUCCGUGCCAGCCGCCGCCGUAAUACUGGGGAUGCAAGCGUUAUCCGGAUUUAUUGGGUUUAAAGGGUGCGUAGGCUGGGAGGUAAGUCAGCUGUGAAAUGCCUCCGCUCAACGGGGUGAAGUGCCAUUGAUACUGCCAUGCUGGAAUGCAGAUGCGGUGGGAGGAAUGUGUGGUGUAGCGGUGAAAUGCAUAGAUAUCACACAGAACACCGAUUGCGAAGGCAUCUCACGAAUCCGCGAUUGACGCUGAUGCACGAAAGCGUGGGUAUCAAACAGGAUUAGAUACCCUUGUAGUC
Molecule: ribosomal RNA, 460 nt
Filed under: uncultured bacterium
Lineage: Bacteria
Description: partial 16S ribosomal RNA
Rfam family: Bacterial small subunit ribosomal RNA
Source: RNAcentral